CUGUGCCUACGGGAGGCAGCAGUGAGGAAUAUUGGUCAAUGGGCGGUAGCCUGAACCAGCCAAGUAGCGUGAAGGAUGAAGGUUCUAUGGAUUGUAAACUUCUUUUAUAAAGGAAUAAAGUGAGGCACGUGUGCCUUUUUGUAUGUACUUUAUGAAUAAGGAUCGGCUAACUCCGUGCCAGCAGCCGCGGUAAUACGGAGGAUCCGAGCGUUAUCCGGAUUUAUUGGGUUUAAAGGGAGCGUAGGUGGAUUGUUAAGUCAGUUGUGAAAGUUUGCGGCUCAACCGUAAAAUUGCAGUUGAAACUG
RNAcentral lists this ribosomal RNA (305 nucleotides) under uncultured bacterium. RNAcentral's name for it is "bacterial SSU rRNA". It matches the Rfam family "Bacterial small subunit ribosomal RNA", at positions 333 to 635 of the family's 1533-position model. The record is from RNAcentral.